Ornithorhynchus anatinus (platypus) is the source of this 462-nucleotide long non-coding RNA. RefSeq lists it as uncharacterized. The transcript is spliced from 3 exons. The record is from RefSeq and is a predicted model, not a curated record. NCBI's taxonomy places the organism in Eukaryota, Metazoa, Chordata, Mammalia, Monotremata, Ornithorhynchidae.
UCCCCUCCUGAAGCAUGUUUUUCAAGGACUGAAGAUUCCGGAGCAGUACUUUGUCCUGAUUGUGAGAUUGUGCAAAUUCCGAAGACAGGAUUUCAGAGCACACUGUCAUGGCUGGAGUCUGUGAAGUUGAGUGAUUUUGUCAGCUUGCAGUCACUGCUUCCCUAUAAAGAGUCUGAGAAGAAUAUGGCUAUUCGGUAUGGUCCACCUGUAUUACCCAAAGAAUCAGCAGAAGUUUCUGUUGUAGUUUGCCAUGUGAAUAGUCCUGGUGAUUUCUACCUUCAGCUGGUAAGUCCAGACCAUAAAAAUACUUCCCUAUUUCUGCAAUUCAUAUGUGUAGAAUAUAAAAUAUGGAGUUACAGAAGUAAUACCCUACACAACAUCUCUCCACUUUUACCCCCAAGGAUCUUAGGAAAUUGGGUUCAACAUGACUGUACUGUAUAUACUUCAGUGCUUACUACAGUG